RNAcentral lists this RNase P RNA (456 nucleotides) under Verrucomicrobiota bacterium. RNAcentral's name for it is "Verrucomicrobia bacterium (groundwater metagenome) RNase P RNA component class A". It matches the Rfam family "Bacterial RNase P class A". From Rfam's summary of the family: Ribonuclease P (RNase P) is a ubiquitous endoribonuclease, found in archaea, bacteria and eukarya as well as chloroplasts and mitochondria. Lineage: Bacteria; Pseudomonadati; Verrucomicrobiota. The record is from RNAcentral.
CCGGAAGGGCGGAGGAUCGCUCCCGGCGCGAGCCGGGGGAGGAAAGUCCGAACUCCACAGGGCGCGAUGCUGCGUAACUCGCGGCUGCCGACGCAAGGAAGCAGACGCGAGAUACACGCGGGAGGCGACGCCGCGAGGCGUCCCGACGGACAGUGCCACAGAGAAUUAAACCGCCGACUUCGGCGUUUUGGAUUUCAAAUUUGAAAUUUGAAAUUCGGGAUUGCCGGAGGGCAAGGGUGAAAAGGUGGGGUAAGAGCCCACCGCUCCAAGCGCAAGCGCGGAGGCACGGAAAACCCCAUCGGGAGCAAGGCCAAAUAGGGGACCCCGGAGCGGCCCGCUCCACGUUGCGCGCAAGCGCGGCAGGUCCCGGGUCUUGGCCGCUGAGACAAAUGAUCCUCUCCUCCGGCGCGCGAGCGCCGGGGCAGACAGAAUUCGGCUUACAGCCCUUCCGGAAUC